This 242-nucleotide unclassified non-coding RNA is filed under the name Dikarya sp. RNAcentral's name for it is "partial contains 5.8S ribosomal RNA, internal transcribed spacer 2, and large subunit ribosomal RNA". The record is from RNAcentral. RNAcentral also lists the same sequence under 1 other name. Lineage: Eukaryota; Fungi.
AACGCACAUUGCGCCCCCUGGCAUUCCGGGGGGCAUGCCCGUUCGAGCGUCAUUACACCCAUCAAGCCUCGCUUGGUAUUGGGCCCCGGGGGCGACCCGGGCCCCCACGUCUCCGGCGGGAGCGCCCCGAGCCCAGCGUUGUGGCACAUCAGUGUUCGCUGGCGGCGACGGGCCUCUCACGCCGUUAAACCCACCUUCUCAAGGUUGACCUCGGAUCGGGUAGGGAUACCCGCUGAACUUAA